AUUCAUCCGACAAGUCCUAAACAGGACGAAACGCACGUCCUGGAU
Molecule: non-coding RNA, 45 nt
Filed under: Schistosoma margrebowiei
Lineage: Eukaryota; Metazoa; Platyhelminthes; Trematoda; Strigeidida; Schistosomatidae
Source: RNAcentral